This 253-nucleotide ribosomal RNA is filed under the name uncultured bacterium. RNAcentral's name for it is "partial 16S ribosomal RNA". It matches the Rfam family "Bacterial small subunit ribosomal RNA", at positions 524 to 776 of the family's 1533-position model. The record is from RNAcentral.
UACGAAGGGGGCUAGCGUUGCUCGGAAUCACUGGGCGUAAAGGGUGCGUAGGCGGGUCUUUAAGUCAGAGGUGAAAUCCUGGAGCUCAACUCCAGAACUGCCUUUGAUACUGAGGAUCUUGAGUUCGGGAGAGGUGAGUGGAACUGCGAGUGUAGAGGUGAAAUUCGUAGAUAUUCGCAAGAACACCAGUGGCGAAGGCGGCUCACUGGCCCGAUACUGACGCUGAGGCACGAAAGCGUGGGAAGCAAACAGG